AAAAUUAUAGAUUCUGCCUAUAAAUGCAGUAUCUCCAAAAGUGAUCCCUGAAAUCAUGAUGAUGGCCGUUCUGCGUGUUCAAAGGUUACCAAUAUGAUUCACAAAAUUUAUGCAUGUUAUGAAUCUACCUGGAGAAUUUACUGUUCUUGGUAUUUGAAUGUGAAUCAAUAUCACCAAAGCACGAUGCCUCUUAACUUUUUCCCUUGAUAGCUAUAUUACAUUCUGAAAUUCAACGGAUAAAUACUCAAUGAUUAAGGUGGGGUAGAAAAGUUUCUCAAAAAUUUUCUUUUGACUGUUUGACAACCUCUAUUUAUAUUGAACUGUGGAUAUUUGUCUCAUAAUGGUUAGUUCACGGAAACUUUUUGCUAUAGCCAUUCUUCUUCUUAAAUGCGUUUUUUUGUUUUUUAGCUAUAAAAGUUAAUGCACAUCUCCAGACUCAGAUUAUUAUGAAGCUCACAAUUUUUUUUUUUUUUUUUAAAUAAAAAAUUCACCGAAUUUUCUUAAUGGAUGAAAAGCAAAGAAUACUUAGUUGUAGAGCAAGACUUGUGAAGAAGUGGAGCUUGCUAAAGUGAUGGGGGCUAUAAAAGCUAUAUCUCGGGUAGAAACAAGUUAAACCGAAUACCUAAGUAUUCUAGAUCGGUUUUAGUUUAGUAUUCCUGAGUCUAACUUUGUGCUAAAAAAUAUGUUGAAACACUCCAUUCUACUCAGGGCUUGAUUGAGUUUCCUCAAGCUUUAGCUUGAUCUCACACCUUGAUUUUUUUUGAAAUACAAAGAUUUGACGUCUUGAUUUUGCAUGCAUAGGAUAGAAAUCAAGCUCGACCUGAAAAUCAAACGUAUAAUUGCUUGGUAAUUAUGAAAAAUCUGUAUGUAUAAUUGUGCUGCAUUAUUAAUGUCAAUACAUAAAACAAUAUAUAGAACAUCUAGUUAGGUUUUUAUAUUUAAAAUUAACAUGUUUAUGAACUUUUGAUCCGAGUAUUUAUGGCAGGAAUAAUCUUUGAUCAUAAAUGACAAUUAAGCUCAAGCUUAAUUGAAAUAUUGUCAAACUGAGCUUGAGCCGAGUUUGAUUGAACUAUUAAUUGAACUCAAGCAUGGCUUGGUGCCAGUCCUACUCUAUAUAUAAAGUAUUUGCCUGAGGCAUUGUGAUAUUAAGGGGAAAUAGUUCUCUCCGCAUUUGGUCAUUAAUGCAUUUUCCUCGCAUUACCUUAAUCAUAAUAUUAAUUGUUCUUCCAGAGUAUCGGGAGCCUGUGAAAAUAUAAAUAUUUUUUGUAGCUGUGGUGAUUCAGAGUCUCAGUCAUGCCUAUACGAGGAAUCUCUUCCUGGCUUGAAAAGUGUCCCUGGUUUGAAAAGAAAGCUGCCAGCUCUUGAAGAUGAUGAGAUGGAGUUUUCUGAAACCAUUAAUUCCCCACUGAAUUCAAAAA
Non-coding RNA from Carica papaya (papaya), 1418 nucleotides. The record is from RefSeq and is a predicted model, not a curated record. NCBI's taxonomy places the organism in Eukaryota, Viridiplantae, Streptophyta, Magnoliopsida, Brassicales, Caricaceae.